GACGAACGCUGGCGGCGUGCUUAACACAUGCAAGUCGAACGGAAAGGCCCUGCUUUUGUGGGGUGCUCGAGUGGCGAACGGGUGAGUAACACGUGAGUAACCUGCCCUUGACUUUGGGAUAACUUCAGGAAACUGGGGCUAAUACCGGAUAGGAGCUCCUGCUGCAUGGUGGGGGUUGGAAAGUUUCGGCGGUUGGGGAUGGACUCGCGGCUUAUCAGCUUGUUGGUGGGGUAGUGGCUUACCAAGGCUUUGACGGGUAGCCGGCCUGAGAGGGUGACCGGCCGAGUGGAGGGGGGGACGGGGCACGGACGGGUGCGGGGGGCAGCGGUGGGGAGAAGUGACGGCUGAGGGAGGGCCGGAGGAGGCAGCGCGGGGGGCGGGGCGCCGGCGUGGGGUUUUGACCCGGGUUUGGGGGGGGAGGGGGGGGGAGGGGCGGUAAUGGGAAAAGAAGCACCGGCUAAUUACGCCCCAGGGGCGCGGUAAUAGACGGAGGAGCAGCCGGCUGAAC
RNAcentral lists this ribosomal RNA (508 nucleotides) under uncultured bacterium. RNAcentral describes it as "partial 16S ribosomal RNA". The stretch from base 20 to 332 matches the Rfam family "Bacterial small subunit ribosomal RNA", at positions 47 to 358 of the family's 1533-position model. The record is from RNAcentral.